ACUUACAUCGUACCAAGGGCACAGCAAGUGGACUAAAUAAAUUAUUCCUUGGGUUUUUUCUUUCCAGACAUAAAUAUUUUUUUUUUCAAAUUUAUUUUAUUGAGGUGAGAUUGAUUUAUAAAAUUAUAUAAAAUUCAGGUGUAUAUCAUUGCAUUUCAACUUCUGUAUAGGCUGCAUUGGGUUCACCAUCAAAAGUCUAGUUUCCAUCUGUCACCAUACAUAUGUGCCCCUUUACUCUUUUCACCCUCCCCCACGCCCUGCCCCUCUGCUUAUUUCUUCAUUCAUCCAUCCACCCACCCAUCCAUCCAUCCAUCCAUCCAUCCACCCAUUCUAAGCUAAAGGACUAUUCCCUAAGUCCUUUCUGUGUGCAAAGCUUUGUCCUAGGCACUGAAAGUAUCUGAAAAUGGGAAAAACAGACAAACACAGGGAAAGAGAUCCUAAUAAUUCCGGCUGACAGAAAUAAGUAAGGUGCUUCUGCAGUUGGUUUAUUUUCAACUUAUAAACAGAUUCUUGGUUGCUGAACUGGUCUUAGAUUUCUAACUUUCUAGAUUUACUUGAGGGCUUUGAUUCACCCUCCCAAAAAGAUCAUUUAACUGAAACUUUGGAAUUGACUAUAGGCUACAAGAAGGAUUCAAAGGAGAGCGUAUUUGCUGAAGGAAAUGUAACAGCAGUGCUAGAGCUUAGAGACAAAAUAUUUGGGGGGCUGGAAGCAGUCACCAGAACUCUACCUUUCAUUCUUAGGAGGUUCACACUGUCUUGUCAGGCACAAAACAUCAAAGUCUUUGAGACAGAGGUCAGGAAAUUGAGUGUUUCAAGCCUCAUUAAAGAGUGUGACAAUUAUAGGAAAAGAGAAAUGUACUGAAAAUAGGCCACAAUACUUAUCCCCAGACACAAAUGACUAUGUAGUUGCCUCAACCUGUUAAAAAAUAAUUACCAUCCAAGGGAAAGACAUUGUCAUGGAGAGACAGUAUGCACAAUGAACCCAGCCAAUUUUUGCAAAGAGGGCAGGAGGAGGAGGAAGCUUAAGGAGAGGGCUCGAUUAACAGCCAGUAUUCGCUCUGCUGAGGGCUCUCUGGCAUGGUCCUGGGGUCUUAUUAUCAUCUCCCCUGAGAGGGAAUCUUGCCAGACUCUCCUUCAGCAGCUUAUCCUCUGCAAUACUGCCGUGGUAGCUCUGAAUUCAGUCACAGCCAGACACCAUCAGAGCCAGAAGAUUAAGAGGCAGUUGAGGAGCCCGCCAAUGAUACCCUAAAAGUGCAGCGUAGGCUUAUUUGCCUGACUGUGGUCACUUGGAAUUGAUUCCUUGAAUUUUUUGCUGUAAAAGGAUGCUAAACUUCACAGCUUCCAAUAUCCUUCCGGUUGCAACCAAGAGAGCUCCUUGGCCUGUCCCAUCAUGCUGAGGAAAUGGUGAGCAAUGAGAGAUAAGGAAUCUGGUGGCCACAGUAGGUUCUCAUUCUAAUCCUUUGUGACUCUCUUUUUUCAAUCCAAAUUCCAGAGCUGGUAUGGUUGCUUCUGCUACUACAGUUCAUAGCUCCGUUUACAGGACACUGACAAAACGUUUGAAGAGGACCGAGCCAUGAACAGAAUUUGAGAGCACUACUCCAGAGGUUUCUUUAACGUGACCUGGCUUCUUUUAGCUGAAGACAUUCUGUGUUGAUAAUACGCAAAGUACUCAAGGCCAGUCCCAAAUAAAAUAAUCAAGGGCUUCCAGAUUUCCCUUUCUUCUCCGUGUCUUCCCUAACUUCAAGGUCCGUACAGAAUCAUAUCACAUGCAGAAGCUCCUAUGGCCUCCAGGAGGAAACAAUCAGCACAUGGACACGAAAA
This 1821-nucleotide long non-coding RNA is filed under the name Equus caballus (horse). RNAcentral describes it as "lncRNA (ENSECAG00000052404.1)". The record is from RNAcentral. Lineage: Eukaryota; Metazoa; Chordata; Mammalia; Perissodactyla; Equidae.